CUUAGCAAACUAACGCAGGAGCAGAAAACCAAAUACCACAUGUUAUCACUGAAAAUACAUGGACACAUAGAGGGGAACAACACACACUGGGGCCUAUCAGAGGCUAUAAAAUAGAAACAAUAGAAACUACCUCAGACUAUUGUGAGAAAUAAAUAAAACACAUGAUAUAAUUAGCACAUAAAUGUUGGCUCUCUGAGCUUUGGCCUCACUAUCAAUCUUCCAGUUCCUCAUUUUACAUACUGCUUACCCUUACCCCAGCCCUUUUACUUUGUCAUUGCCUACUCUUCUUUCAGAUCUCGUUUCAAUCCCUACUUCCUCAGGGAAGACUUACCUAACUAGGUCAAUUCUCAUUAUAUUUGUUUAGAAAGACAGAUAUAAUCCAUGUUUAUUUGGUUGUUCAUUCAUUCAUUUUCUCAUUCAUUCAUCUAAGACCCCAUCAUAUUUUAUCU
Molecule: long non-coding RNA, 449 nt
Filed under: Pan troglodytes (chimpanzee)
Lineage: Eukaryota; Metazoa; Chordata; Mammalia; Primates; Hominidae
Description: long non-coding RNA NONPTRT002553
Source: RNAcentral